AACCUCAUCCUGGCCAGUCAUUGUAAAAACCUAAUGGCGAGGUUAACAAGAGGGUAUUUUUAGCCAGCGCGUCAAAAUAUACAGGGUAAGAGUGAAUGUAGGGGGAAAAAAGUUGUGGGUUGUAGAAGUUAUCAAGUGGGAUUUGCGGCGCUCUCUGCAGGAAACGAGAGCGGCUCCAGUUCAAAGCCACAUGCACCAACGUGACAUAUAAGCCAUUAAAAUAUCAUCCUGACGGCUCAUUUCUGCUCCAUCAUACAUUCCCUAACUGCUUCCAGAAAGCCCGAAAAGAAGAAAUGAAGGAUGACCGCCUCGCUGGAACCACAAAAGACGUGGUUAGCGGGGUUCUUUUUCCCCAUCGUCCACCUCGAAGUGAUGUACAGAAAUGAGGGAUUCUCUUCAACAGGUGGAGUGGGGGUCAAAGUCAGAAAAUGAGAUACAAGACUUCCUUGGUAAUGAGGAAAAGAUUACGACUUUACAGAAACGCCCUCAAAGAAUCAAGGCCAUCCCGCCCCACCAAAGCCCGGUAAAUCCUGUUCAAAGAUGACUCGUUCCGGAGCUCUAGAAUUAAUAUUUGACGACUCUCUCGUUGGAACAACCACCCCUGACCUUCUGAGAUGCCACUGUCACAUUAUUCUAUGACAUAUUCAUCUUGAAUUCAUUUACGGACGAUUUGAUUGGAAUGAGGUUUGACAUGUAUUGGAUCCUAUUAAAGAAGAAGACUUUGAUCUUGUUGAUGGGGUAGACAUGAUAUGUCUCAUCUUUACUAGGGAUACCAGCCUUCCACAAUGUGGUGAAGACCAAGUUUCCACCAUGCCUUGUCUAAGUAGUUAGUCACUGACAUCUGCUCAGGCAGGAAAACCUUAAUCCUGAAGACUUUAAUUCGAUAUUCCAUUAAAAAAUAAGCUGCAAUUGGGUUUUUGCUUCAAGGCACCGUAGUUUCUAAAAUAGGAAAUACACCACCAAUUCCUUAUGAUUUCCACAGUUACUCUAAAGUGCCUACAAAAUAUUCUUUCAGAACAAAUAGACAAUCCCUGGAGUGAGAUGCUCACUAUCCUUUCCUUGUAUUUAAUGUUUUAAAGAGAAAAAGAAAACAUCGUUUUGUAUGUUUCUUUAGUUAAGGACAGUUGUAUUGAAGUUGAGUGAACUCCAUUUCCUUUCUUGGACAAUCUUGAAACGUAUUUCUUAUUCUCCUAUAAUAUUCUCAUAUAAUUUUCAUAAACAAGACAUCUUAGUGAAUGAAAUUCUACUAGAACAGCUUUUCCUACUAUAUCUAUUCUUUUAAUGAUCAUUAACAGACCAGUCUUUCGCAGAAAAGAGAAAGAAUACUUUCUUUUUUUUUUGUUCUUCAUUUAGUACUGAGGUUCCACAAUGCAUUUGCCUACUUAGGAGUGCAAAUUAAUAUUCUUUCAUAGACUUUUGAUUUCUGAUCAAAAAUUUUAUGCUUCUUAAUUGGAAAAAAUAUUUAAUUUUAAAGAGAAAUGAGAAAUCUUUAUUUCAAUAACCAGGAAGGAAAUUGUACUUUGUAUUGAAUAACCUGUUCCAUCAUUAACAGUUAUUCUAUGAAUCUAGAUGGAUCACUAAUAAAGGAGGCAAAUACAUAGCUUGAUUAUACAUAGCUUGAUGCAGCCAGACAUGACUUGUGGUUUCUGGGGCUUGCUCCUGAGCCCUAAGAAAAUUAGAAGGCAUUUUAAAUAUAGCAAAAAUUUCAAACAUAUAAAUAACAGUUUUUUUAUUUCUACAUGUAAAUAUUCUAAAAUAUAAAUAUUAGAUUCAUAUAGGGAAACAUGUUGUUUGCAAUUUAGGUUCUUUCCAGCUCUGAAUUCUAUACUCCCAGAAUGCUAAAAAGUUUCAGGUACACUGCAUGGAUAAAUUCAUUCAUUUGGACAGUACAGUAUAGGGGAGCAAUUUUAAACUAAAGAGAUCAGAAAAACUAAAAAGUCGCAUCAGUGUAUAUUGUAUACACUUUAGCUCUAUUUGAAACAAUUCCCUGAGAGGUAGUACUCUUUGCCCUAUCCAAGAGAGAGACAGACAAAUAUACAGAGAGA
Molecule: long non-coding RNA, 2045 nt
Organism: Sarcophilus harrisii (Tasmanian devil)
Lineage: Eukaryota; Metazoa; Chordata; Mammalia; Dasyuromorphia; Dasyuridae
Exons: 3
Source: RefSeq, a predicted model, not a curated record